UACGGGGGGCUGCAGUGGGGAAUCUUGCGCAGUGGACGAAAGUCUGAUGCAGCGACGCCGCGUGGGGGAUGAAGCUUUUCGGAGUGUAAACCCCUUUCGACCCGGACGAAUGCCUCGCAAGAGGACUGACGGUACGGGUAUAAGAAGCCCCGGCUAACUACGUGCCAGCAGCCGCGGUAAGACGUAGGGGGCCAGCGUUGCUCGGAAUUACUGGGUGUAAAGGGUUCGUAGGCGGUGUGGCAAGUCGGGAGUGAAAUUUCUGGGCUUAACUCAGAACCUGCUUCCGAAACUGCUGUGCUGGAGUAUGGGAGAGGCGCGUGGAAUUGCAGGUGUAGCGGUGAAAUGCGUAGAUAUCUGCAGGAACACCCGUGGCGAAAGCGGCGCGCUGGACCACUACUGACGCUGAGGAACGAAAGCUAGGGGAGCAAACAGGAUUAGAUACCCCAGUAGUCAUCUUCUAGA
RNAcentral lists this ribosomal RNA (462 nucleotides) under uncultured Acidobacteriota bacterium. RNAcentral describes it as "bacterial SSU rRNA". It matches the Rfam family "Bacterial small subunit ribosomal RNA", at positions 340 to 805 of the family's 1533-position model. The record is from RNAcentral. Lineage: Bacteria; Pseudomonadati; Acidobacteriota.